CUGGAGUUGGUGCUGUUGGUUGAUUUAAUCGGGGCUCGAAAAUACUGGGAGAGAGAACUACAGGUGGCAGACAGAGUGCCAAACAAACAUAGACCCACCUCCUAGGAGUCAACAGAUCCCAGAUAUCAGGUCUCUGUAACUACUCUGCUUUUUAAAAACUGGAACAUUCAUUGAAGACCCCUUUUGAAGUCUCGGGCGAGAACAUGUAUGAGAAAACUAAAGCUCCAAGAGGUGUAGGGACUUACCCCAAAUCACAGAGCUACGAAUAGGGGAGCAGUGACUGGGACACAAGUCUCUCAGUCAAGCCGGUGGGAAGAGCUUGUUGACAAUGUGAGACAAGAAGAUGGUGGAUCCAUUUGGCCUGGUAUGGAAUAAGGCUGGAUGGAGGUUAGAACUAAGUGUUCUGUCAGCUGCCUAAGGGAAGAAGGAAAUGGAACUUAUACUUUGAAGAGCUGAAAUGAUCAUUGCUAAACACUGACCAUCUACAAUUAUUGUAAUGCAUGAUUUUCAUUACUUUUUUGAAACAAAUAUAUCAUCCAUAUAAAUUAUAA
Molecule: long non-coding RNA, 551 nt
Organism: Suricata suricatta (meerkat)
Lineage: Eukaryota; Metazoa; Chordata; Mammalia; Carnivora; Herpestidae
Exons: 4
Source: RefSeq, a predicted model, not a curated record